GACGAACGCUGGCGGCGUGCUUAACACAUGCAAGUCGAACGGAAAGGCCCUGCUUUUGUGGGGUGCUCGAGUGGCGAACGGGUGAGUAACACGUGAGUAACCUGCCCUUGACUUUGGGAUAACUUCAGGAAACUGGGGCUAAUACCGGAUAGGAGCUCCUGCUGCAUGGUGGGGGUUGGAAAGUUUCGGCGGUUGGGGAUGGUCUCGCGGCUUAUCAGCUUGUUGGUGGGGUAGUGGCUUACCAAGGUUUUGACGGCUAGCCGGCCUGAGAGGGUGACCGGCCACAUUGGGACUGAGAUACGGCCCAGACUCCUACGGGAGGCAGCGGUGGGGAAUAUUGCACAAUGGGCGGAAGCCUGAUGCAGCAACGCCGCGUGCGGGAUGACGGCCUUCGGGUUGUAAACCGCUUUCGACUGUGACGAAGCGUGAGUGACGGUAAUGGGUAAAGAAGCACCGGCUAACUACGUG
RNAcentral lists this ribosomal RNA (468 nucleotides) under uncultured bacterium. RNAcentral describes it as "partial 16S ribosomal RNA". It matches the Rfam family "Bacterial small subunit ribosomal RNA", at positions 28 to 507 of the family's 1533-position model. The record is from RNAcentral.